UAUGUGAAUAAAAUUCUUUAAAAAUUUUAUAAAUGAAACUAUGAUAGUUUUAUUUCAGAGCCACAUUAUAUACCUAAAGAGCUGCAUGUGGCUCGUGAGCUGCAGUUUACUGAUUCUGCCUUAUUAUAUAAGACAACAGUUUAAUGGAAAUAGUGCUAUGUUAUGUUAUGGUAAAAGAGUAAUUUAUUUUAUGAUGCCUCUGAAGUUCUUAAUUAUUGCUAUUACUUUCUGUACAAUAAAGAUAUUUUCAUUUUUAAGAUCUUCUGUAUUGUAUGUUUUAAAACUUAUUUUUGACAAUACAUUUGCU
Molecule: long non-coding RNA, 307 nt
Filed under: Androctonus crassicauda
Lineage: Eukaryota; Metazoa; Arthropoda; Arachnida; Scorpiones; Buthidae
Source: RNAcentral